Molecule: ribosomal RNA, 524 nt
Filed under: uncultured bacterium
Lineage: Bacteria
Description: partial 16S ribosomal RNA
Rfam family: Bacterial small subunit ribosomal RNA
Source: RNAcentral
GACGAACGCUGGCGGCGUGCCUGAUACAUGCAAGUCGAGCGCAGGAAGCCGUCUGAACCCUUCGGGGGGACGACGGUGGAAUGAGCGGCGGACGGGUGAGUAACACGUAAAGAACCUGCCCAUAGGUCUGGGAUAACCACGAGAAAUCGGGGCUAAUACCGGAUGUGUCAUCGGACCGCAUGGUCCGCUGAUGAAAGGCGCUCCGGCGUCGCCCAUGGAUGGCUUUGCGGUGCAUUAGCUAGUUGGUGGGGUAACGGCCCACCAAGGCGACGAGGCAGAGCCGACCCGAGGGGGUGAUCGGCCACACUGGGACUGAGACACGGCCCAGACUCCUACGGGAGGCAGCAGUAGGGAAUCUUCCACAAUGGACGAAAGUCUGAUGGAGCAACGCCGCGUGAACGAUGAAGGCUUUCGGGUCGUAAAGUUCUGUUGUAAGGGAAGAACAAGUGCCGCAGGCAAUGGCGGCACCUUGACGGUACCUUGCGAGAAAGCCACGGCUAACUACGUGCCAGCCGCCGCAGUAA